AUCAUAGUAUGUUAAAUAAAACAAUAGAUCUGUGGCAUCUAUAAUCGAUAUAGUAUCGCAUGAUU
Molecule: transfer RNA, 65 nt
Filed under: Odontoglaja guamensis
Lineage: Eukaryota; Metazoa; Mollusca; Gastropoda; Cephalaspidea; Aglajidae
Description: tRNA-His
Source: RNAcentral